UCGAUUUCUGCAUAAUCUUUUGAGAAAAAGGAGGGUCAAUAUAGAUAUCCUCACCGUAAGCAGGGAGAGCAUGGUGGAGCUCUUUGAUCUGCCGGUUCAUCUCUCAGAACCUUUGAUCCAAGAGAUCCUCUCGAUCAUGAAUCUCGAGGGUCUUCUGGCAGAACGGAGGUAGGGACCCUCUGGGGGUGGAAUCAUGAUCAGAUAGAUGGCUCUCCGCCCUCUGCUUUUCCUUUUCGGGGGAUACAAGAUGAUUGGCCCAAGUGGGCCGCCC
RNAcentral lists this long non-coding RNA (271 nucleotides) under Elaeis guineensis (African oil palm). RNAcentral describes it as "long non-coding RNA (EGUI_LNC082692)". Lineage: Eukaryota; Viridiplantae; Streptophyta; Magnoliopsida; Arecales; Arecaceae. The record is from RNAcentral.